UCACACUUUAUCUUUUCUUUUUUAAUAACCCCUAAAAACCAGUGGAGUAGUUUUGCAGGUUGAAGCCAUGUCUAAAUGAAAGUCCUCAGUAGGUGUUAAAGGAAACAGGGAGGGGAGAUCCUGAAGCCUCCAGCCGGGAGGUCAGGUGUCGGGAGCUGCCCUGGCUUGGGCAGCUCGGGGCCCCAGCCCCAGAGAUGGUGUGGGCAGGGCAGGCGUGGUGUGGGGGCUGUGGGCUG
RNAcentral lists this long non-coding RNA (236 nucleotides) under Bos taurus (domestic cattle). RNAcentral describes it as "long non-coding RNA NONBTAT014039". The record is from RNAcentral. Lineage: Eukaryota; Metazoa; Chordata; Mammalia; Artiodactyla; Bovidae.